ACAAAACUGCAGAGUUGGGGAACUUAAUACAAAUUUGGAAGAAUCAUUAAAUGAACGAUAUGGAGCAACGUAGAGAUUCGUUUUAAUUCGAGAGUAAUCUUAUUAAGACUGACAAGACCCGUUGGGCUCUCUCAAUCUUUGGGUACGGUUUGCUAGAUUACAAAUCGUUCCGGUUGGCGAUGCAGGCAGCCGGUGGUCCUCGCUAGACACGGACAACGUUAAGGUUUACGCUUGGCACAGAAACGCAGCGAGCACCCGGAAGGAAGGCGGUCCGUGAGUCACAAAAUGGCGUCAGAUGAAUGUCCCCAUUAAUUAGCAGCUACCUUAACGCUCCUUCUCAUACCUUUAUCAUUCAUUUGAGUUAUUCUUGUUUCCUGCGUCUUAUCUUUUCCUUCGAGCCUCGAAUCACGUCUUAUUUCCCGGACGAAGAAUCUGCAAAGCAUCGCGGCUAUCGCGUUCAGACAUCCAGGACCCUGUUGGACAAUAAUUUAUUAACGAGUAAUUACAAUAAGUUGACAAGUGACAAAUCGUAUAGUUAUAAAAUUCUGUUGCAUAGUUUUAUAAUUCUACGUCGAAUAGAAGAAUCAGCUAAGUUGCAAAAUUGUAAAAGUGACUCGAGAACUUUAUUAUUAUGCAAUAAAAUUUAUUAAGAUUGACAAUUGGUCAAAUUUCGCUAAUAAUAAAGAUCCAGAUAAUUAAUACUUUUGUUGAAACAGGAAGACUUGUUAUAUGAAACUAACAUCGGACAAUAUGUAGACAUGUUGUAAUCGCUACAGAAAUGCUUGUGAAAACUAACGAAUUUCUUGUGAAUGUCGCUUCAAAAUCGUGUUAUUUAACAUAAAGCACUUGUUUGAUGUUGUUUCACGCCCUACAUAUUGUAGUUAAACGCGUUGUCAGGCAAAUGGAAGAUUCUUGCGGAGGAUUCUCUUACGCAUUUGCAUAACGUCACCAACGUCAAUACGGCUAAUAUCGCAAUUUUCUUGUCUCGUUGAAUAUUCUAUUUAACAGCGUACAUCCCAUGAGAUUUAACUCUUCAAUAACCUCUUAUUGUGUGCCAAUUUCGCACGCCAAUCUUGUAUAUGAUUUACAGAUAAUGAAUUAUUACGAACGUCUAUCACAUUGAGAAAGCGCCGUUUAGCGGAAUAUUUAGGGCUGAUGAUAAAUUUUUUAUGAUUUAUGCAAAUCUUAAAGUAAGAAAGAGGAGCAAGAAAAAAAUUAACAUACAUUUCUCGAAAUUGUUUUUUGGGUGCUCUAAUAUCCUUUUUCAAUAAAAAUUUAAUAGAAAAUUUAUCAGAAAUACGUGCGAAUUUUGUAUCUUUGCACUUGUUAAUAAACAAAAUCAAAUUAUUCGUUUAAUAGAUGAAUCAACAUUUUCCAGAAUACAGCGAAUGCCUCCAUAAAUAUUUUUCCUCUUAUUUGUUUUAAAAAACGUUGAGAUAUUUGAACUUCCAUGCAAAACAUAUGUCAUGUUUAUUCAAAUUCAUUUGCAUAAAAGGUUUAAUACCGGGCCAACACGCAUGCCCAAAAUUGCGAUAUGUUUUAUAUUUGGUUGCACAAAUAUUUACAGCUGUCGCAGUUUUAUAGACUUUUAAACGUCCCUUAGUAUGUUCAUAUAAUGUGUGGUAAAUCACGGACUACAUAUGGUAGAU
RNAcentral lists this unclassified non-coding RNA (1649 nucleotides) under Bombus terrestris (buff-tailed bumblebee). Its description in RNAcentral is "misc RNA ENSBTSG00005024280.1". The record is from RNAcentral. Lineage: Eukaryota; Metazoa; Arthropoda; Insecta; Hymenoptera; Apidae.